Molecule: ribosomal RNA, 301 nt
Filed under: uncultured bacterium
Lineage: Bacteria
Description: partial 16S ribosomal RNA
Rfam family: Bacterial small subunit ribosomal RNA
Source: RNAcentral
CAGUAGCCGCGGGAAUACGGAGGAUCCGAGCGUUAUCCGGAUUUAUUGGGUUUAAAGGGUGCGUAGGCGGCCUAUUAAGUCAGGGGUGAAAGACGGUAGCUUAACUAUCGCAGUGCCUUUGAUACUGAUGGGCUUGAAUGUACUUGAAGUGGGCGGAAUGUGACAAGUAGCGGUGAAAUGCAUAGAUAUGUCACAGAACACCGAUUGCGAAGGCAGCUCACCAAAGUAUGAUUGACGCUGAGGCACGAAAGCGUGGGGAUCAAACAGGAUUAGAUACCCCCGUAGUCCCUGUCUCUUAUAC